This 775-nucleotide ribosomal RNA is filed under the name uncultured Neocallimastigales. RNAcentral describes it as "partial large subunit ribosomal RNA". It matches the Rfam family "Eukaryotic large subunit ribosomal RNA", at positions 24 to 616 of the family's 3401-position model. The record is from RNAcentral. Lineage: Eukaryota; Fungi; Neocallimastigomycota; Neocallimastigomycetes; Neocallimastigales.
UAUGUGAUCGUCUCUCGCAUAUCAAUAAGCGGAGGAAAAGAAACUAACAAGGAUUCCCCUAGUAACGGCGAGUGAAGCGGGAAGAGCUCAAAUUUGAAAUCUUAAAGGGUUUCCCUUUACGAAUUGUAGUUUAAAGAAGUGUUUUCUGUUGAGGUUUUGGUAAAAGUUCUUUGGAAUAGGACAUCAUAGAGGGUGAGAAUCCCGUAUUUGACCUUUACUUUCAACUUUGUGAUACACUUUCAAAGAGUCGGAUUGUUUGGGAAUGCAGUCCCAAAAUGGGUGGUAAAUUUCAUCUAAAGCUAAAUAUUGGCGAGAGACCGAUAGCGAACAAGUACCGUGAGGGAAAGAUGAAAAGAACUUUGAAAAGAGAGUUAAACAGUACGUGAAAUUGUCAAAAGGGAAGCGUUUGACACCAGUGUUGUUUUUCUGAAAAUCAAUUAAAGAACUGUUUAUGCUAAGCUGUUUAGACUUUAUCAGCUAUCUGUUUAGUUUUGAGCUUUUCUUUAAUGCACUUUUCAGUUAACAAGUCAACAUCAAUUUCUUUUGCUGUAAAAAAGCUUGAGGAAGGUGGCUUGAGAUUCGUCUUAAGUGUUUAUAGCCUCUUGCCUAUGCAGUCGGAGAGAUUGAGGUCUGCAGCGUAGAUCCUUCGGGGCUAAAUGCAUUUGUGCUAAGUUAUAGCAUUUUAUAGACAACUUGUUGACUAUGAUUUGUCUUGUAGCUUACUCGCUUAUGUUAUUUUACCUACGCUUAGGAUGUUGAGCGCAUGUCUCUCUCU